GUUAUCCUAAAAUUUGACAAGAACAAAAAUACACCAUGCAAGACUAUAAAGAAAUCUAUCACUAAAACGACCAAAAAUUCCAACUCUCAAAUGUCAAGGAACUUCUCAGAAUCCAAUAUGUCUACAAAUGAGAUUGUAACAAACAAAACAAAACCGUUCCCAUGUUCACAAUGUGGGAAAUGUUUUCGCUCAUAUUCACAAUGCGUUGUCCAUCUCAGGAGUCACACAGGAGAAAAAAGUUUUGUAUGCUCUGACUGUGGAAAGUCCUUUUGCCAUCACUCACAACUUGUGAUCCAUCAGAGAUCCCACUCAGGAGAGAAACCUUAUCCAUGUUCUGAAUGUGGAAAAUGUUUUAGCCGGCACCCGCAUCUUGUGAUCCAUCAGAAAACCCACACAGGAGAGAAACCUUACUCAUGUUCUGAAUGUGGGAAAAGUUUUACUAGUAAACCAAGUCUUAAUAGACAUAAUCAGAAAACCCACACAGGAGAGAAACCCUUCUCAUGUUCUGAAUGUGGGAAAAGAUUUGUGGGUAAAUCGGAACUCGUUAUACAUCUGAGAACCCAUACGGGAGAGAAACCUUUCUCAUGUUCUGAAUGUGCAAAAUGUUUUGCACAGCUCUCACAUCUUAUUAAACAUCGCAGAACCCACACAGGAGAGAAACCAUACUCAUGUUCUGAAUGUAGGAAAAGUUUUAGUGUUCGAACAAAGCUUCUUAAACAUCAGAAAAUCCACACAGGGGAGAAACCGUUCUCAUGUUCUGAAUGUGAAAAAUGUUUUGUUAACAAACCAAGUCUUAUUAAUCAUCAGAGAACCCACACAGGAGAGAAACCGUUCUCAUGUUCUGAAUGUGGAAAAUGUUUUGCAACUAAAAUGGAGCUUAUUACACAUCAGAGAACUCAUACAGGAGAGAAGCCUUUCUCAUGUUCUGAAUGUGAAAGAUGUUUCACUCAGCAUUCACAUCUUGUAAUACAUCAAAGAACCCACACAGGAGAGAAACCUUACUCAUGUUCUGUAUGUGGAAAAUGUUUUGUAAGUAAAUCAUGUGUUGUUCAACAUCAAAGAAUCCACACAGGAGAGAAACCGUUCUCAUGUUCUGAAUGUGGAAAAUGUUUCGUCCGUAAAUUAGAGCUUGUUGCACAUGAGAAAACCCACACAGGAGAGAAACCUUACUCAUGUUCUGAGUGUAAAAAAUGUUUUGUCAGUAAAUCCUAUCUUGUUACACAUCACAGAAUUCACACGGGCGAGAAACCUUUCUCAUGUUCUGAAUGUGGUAAAUCUUUUGUUAAAAAAUCUGCACUUGUUCGACAUCAGCAAACUCACACAGGUGAGAAAACUCCUAACACAGUAUAAUGCAUCUAUAUAUUAACAUUAUAUAACAUUAACAAUUAAAUGCUGACAAAAUAAAUGAGUGUGAGAGUAACAGUUAAUGUACAAAUGAUGGUAUCGUGAUAACCCUGCAGAGCCCCUCUUUACCUCCUUCCCCUAUAGUAUUACGGUUAAAUUUGAAAACCACUUCCAUGUUCAGCUCUUGCUUUGUUUAAUGUUUGUUUUUGUUGUUGCGCAUAUUAUCUGGUUAGCCCCUUGACGACCGGUGACGGCUCUGAACCGUCAUAAAGGUCACGUGUACUUACCCGAUCGCUGUCGUUCCCUCGGCGGUGCUCCCGGUGUGGGGAGACUGCGUGCAGCCCAGACAGUCUCUCCAUGGCAAAUUAGGACCCCGGGGGCCAUGUGAUUGCUCAACAGAGCGGUCAUAUGGUCACAAUAGGUAUCCUAGUGACUGCCUGUGCUGUCAGGCAGUCUCCCUGCAAGUGUAAAAUAAUAAAAAUAUAUAAUUAUAUGUAUGUGUGUGUGUGUG
Molecule: non-coding RNA, 1855 nt
Organism: Pelobates cultripes (western spadefoot toad)
Lineage: Eukaryota; Metazoa; Chordata; Amphibia; Anura; Pelobatidae
Source: the annotation of a GenBank genome assembly